Molecule: non-coding RNA, 92 nt
Organism: Mycena polygramma
Lineage: Eukaryota; Fungi; Basidiomycota; Agaricomycetes; Agaricales; Mycenaceae
Source: the annotation of a GenBank genome assembly
GACUCUUUGGCGUAAUGGCAGCGCGUCGCCACGGAAUGUACCAUUCCGCGUCUAGUCCGGCGAGGGUGCCGGUUCGAAUCCGGCUGGGGUCA